GGAUCCUAUAACUUCGACCAGGGCUACACACGUGCUACAAUGGCGCAUACAAAGAGAAGCAAUCUCGCGAGAGCUAGCGGACCUCAUAAAGUGCGUCGUAGUCCGGAUUGGAGUCUGCAACUCGACUCCAUGAAGUCGGAAUCGCUAGUAAUCGUGAAUCAGAAUGUCACGGUGAAUACGUUCCCGGGCCUUGUACACACCGCCCGUCACACCAUGGGAGUGGGUUGCAAAAGAAGUAGGUAGCUUAACCUUCGGGAGGGCGCUUACCACUUUGUGAUUCAUGACUGGGGUGAAGUCGUAACAAGGUAACCGUAGGGGAACCUGCGGUUGGAUCACCUCCAA
This 342-nucleotide ribosomal RNA is filed under the name Kosakonia radicincitans. RNAcentral describes it as "bacterial SSU rRNA". It matches the Rfam family "Bacterial small subunit ribosomal RNA", at positions 1188 to 1533 of the family's 1533-position model. The record is from RNAcentral. Lineage: Bacteria; Pseudomonadati; Pseudomonadota; Gammaproteobacteria; Enterobacterales; Enterobacteriaceae.